GCAGCUCUUCCCGGUAUACAGUCUAUUGUAGGAAGCAAUUUCUACUUCCCUUUAAUCUCUCAACCGAUCUAACAGAUGAAGAGAGUACCCUCGGAUGAUCAUCUGACGAUCUGAGCAAUCGAGAGAGAGUCCGCAUCUGGUUCAGCAAGUAGCCUACGUCUAGGGGUUAAUUGCUUUAUUGUCAUCACCAGUCAAACACAUCCAUUCAAGAACUUACAGUUGGAGGCGAACACCAUUGCUCUUCGUUUCACCUCUCUGAUUUUAUUCAAUCAGUUCGAUUGUUGCUGAGAGUUUUGGAAAGCUAGAAAGGUUUUAUUUGGAUUACUUCAUUCAAAGGCUGUGCGUGACAACAUCCAUAACAACAAGCUGAAUCCCAUUGGCAUCAUCCAAUCGUUGUGACAUCAUUCUCAUCUGGUUACCAUGGCAAACUGCGGCUGGUUAUGGAGCAUUAUUUGGAUCAUCCUCCUCCUCGUGAUUGGCUGGCCGAUCGGUCUCCUGUGCGGCAUCCUUUACGCCAUCUUCUGCGCGUUCCCACCCUGCUGCCCCGGUUGUAACGAUCUGGUGAACUUUAUACAUCGAGGGUUGGACCUUCCCCGUACCUGCGCUACCAACAUGGUUGCCCAGCGCUCUGGCUGUUGAAUAGGGGUGUAGGAUAGGGGCGUGGUGGGGGUGCAUGAUGUACUUGUAGUCUGUUUAGUACAAUGGAAAGUGAUUGGAUUAACAGAAUGCUGAGCUGGUAUCUCUACAAUCUUCUAUUUCUGGCGAUCAAGGAGGUUCCAGCACCAUGUAGAAACGGAUUUACCGUCUAAACGUUCGUGAUUUAGACUUUUUGAUUGAGGGUAUUCAGAGGGUUGCAAUCUUCCAAUGUGAACCAAUAAUUUGCCAACACUUUCAGAUUUCAUAUGAGCCAUCAAUAAGUUGUGUAUCCUAUACACACCUUCACCAUUGAAAUCAGAAUGCCCGUUUCGUUACAUGAUUUUUUAAAGAUAUACAUGUUGUUUUCAUCGCUAUUUAUUUGCCCGCUCAAACGAUGAUCCUUAUCAAUUCAAACCCGUAUAUUUGUUAAAACGAAAGCAAACGCAAGGAAACAAACGAUUAUCAGUGUUAUAUUCAGCUGAGGACGGGGAUGUAUAUACGGUCUGUGUUUGAUUAGAAAACAGUAGAUAGUUCAUUAAGCUGCCUAUGUGAUAUAUGUAUCCUAAGUGUAUAAUACAGGUAUAUUAUUAUUAAUAGAUAUGUUUUCAAAGAGGCUCAUAAAUGUACCAUUUUCAAAGAGUGCAGUCAAAAGAUGUCAACUUUUUUGUCUGCCUUUCUAUAAUUAUAUUCACAUACCUAUAAAACAUUAUAGCCACAGCAUAAUGUACAUAUGAUUUCCCUUAAUUUGAUACUGUUUAAUUCAAUAUAGUAUAUUUAUUUGUUUUCUAUUCUUCCAUCUCAACAUUAACUCUUUUUAUAUCAUAGAUGUUCAUUGUUAUAAAUAUAUUUAUGCAUCUUGUAACAAUCAUUAUCUUUUAUAUGAAUAAUUUUUCAAAAGGUUCGCAAAAAUAUUUCUUUCAAGUGCUAUGUUCGGUUAGGAUCUUAAUGGGCCGAAGAGAACCUUGAAAUGAUAUUCUUCCAAUUUUAUAUGUUAUUGAAUUGAAAUGGAAGUAGUUAGCGUCAUCUAUAAGAAAAGAAUUACAUGACACUAUGGAAAGAGGUAGAUUAUUAGGGGGAAAUCCAUGACAUAAAUUCUGACUCUAUAAAGUUAACAAUGAUUCAUUAAAGAAAUAAAUAGCCUUCAAGCUUCUUUCUUGUUGUGUAUUUUCACAAGAUCAAAGAAUGAUAGACUUUCAUGAUAUGGUGGUCUCUAUACUAUUUUGAAGAAUAUCUGUGGCUUCCUAAAUGAAAUAGAAUUAUAACUAAGUAUUCAACGAAUACAGUAUUUUAACAUCAUCUUUUUUUUUCGGGGGAGGGGGGCAUAGACACAUACAAAUUUUUUGAAGAAACUCAAAAGCGAGGAAGCAAAGCGACCAAGCUUGUCAAGGGGGCACUUUGCAUAAAAAUGUUCUAAAGUGAAAUUGAAGGAUUGUAUGGAGUCACACUUGGUGAAUUUUGUGAAAAAUAAAUCAGUAAAGAAAAUGUAUUUUUUCAAAAUUUCUACAUAAUGCCAUGAACCAGUGAAACAGGCUGUCUGGAUUAAUUAGCAGCUAUUGCUAUUUUGUGGUCCCCUUUUAUCACAAAUAUCAUUUUCAACUUUACUUUCAACUUUAACUUGAUGUACUACUAUUGCAAUGGCUAGGAUUAAGCUAUUAUCUUACAAGACAUGAUACCCAGAUACAGUAGGAGUUAAUACAUCCUGACAGACAGCCAGGCAAGCCAUUCCAAUAAUUGCUUCUUCCUCCCUCCUAUCCUCUGGGACGCUGCAGGUCAUUUACACAAAUACAGAAGUUGGUGGAUCCAGUGGGGGAAGGGGGGAGGGAGCAUUCCCCCUUCUAUAUUUAAAUAUUCAUCCAUUUAACAUACAUUUUGAUAAAGCUAUCUCUAUAAAGAAAAAAAAGCUUUAAGUAUAAAGAAAAGAUCUAUAAAGAAAAAAAAUUAUCUGUCAUGAUCUGUGCCCCCUCUUUUUUUAAAUUCAAAUUUGCUCUUCAAACCCCCUCUAUUUCAAACUCCUUGAUCUGCCACUGUAGACAAAGUCUGCAUGUAAGAUCUAUAGGGUGAAAUGAUGAAGGAAAAUGUGUAGAUUCAACAUGAUUUAGGGAAAUACAAAAUUUGUUCUCAUAUAUUGAUCAAGUGAAACUAGGGGCUCUAGUAGUUUCAACUGCAAAUAUGUUUGUUUAUAAUAGUGAGAGGGCAUUUAUACUCCAAACAAUGAGCUACAGUUAUGCCUUGUCAUAUUAAAUUUGAAAUGGAAGCAAUCCAACCAAACUUCCCAUCAAUGUACCUCUGAUGUUUCCUUUAUAUAAAAAAACAAAACAAUCGGCUUCAAGCAUGCUUUACUAAUAAAAGCAGUCUGUUUCACCAAAUCAGACAGAUGUUCUGAAAUCAAUUCCUCCAUCUCUUUCCGCCGUUUCUCAAAGCAAACUUCCUGUCUGGGUGACCUCCAUAGGGGUGUACUCAUGUCUUUGAAAUCCUAUUGACAUUGAAUACAUUUAUUUCCUUCACUGAAUAACAAGGCUGGACAGAGGAAAGCUGUCUGGGAGUGGUUGCUUUCCGCUACUUCAUAUCCACUUCAUUCAUUGAGUCAUUCAAUGUUGUUUUAGGAUCACAUUAUGUUCAUGAAAUUAGCAUAUAAAAAUUCUUCCAGCAGAAAAUCUAAACACUAGGAAAUUCUGAACCCUAAAGGAAAUGCUUGUACCAACAUUUAGGGGUGUAAUAUUGCACCCCUCGUGGCAAAAGGUGCAAAAUGACCUUUUUAUCAUUAUUUGAACCAAGAAAUGCUUGUUUCAGCCUAUUGAGUGCAAAUUUGAAGAUUUUGAACCUUUUAAGGUGCAUACUACUUGACAUUAAAAAAGGUUCAGAUUUGAACUUUUAUCACAUGGUUCAUUUCUGCACCCUAUAGGGUGCUUAAUUAAAGCUAAUUGCACCCUUAAAGGUGCAAAAAUGAGCAUAACUGCACCCAUUAGCACCCCCUGGUGUGUUGCUAAUGUACCAAACCCCAGGGUUCAAAUUUGAACCCCCUAUUUCUUAGUGUUUAUGAAUUAUAGUUCAUUUCAUUGAGCAAUUCAUUUGUUUUAGGAGGAUAUUGUGCUCUCAAAAUUAGCAUAAGAUUUCAUGAUUCCUCCUAGAGUAAAUCAACUACGCAUUUUCUUGUAUAUUUUUCAUGUGCUUAUAUGUGCAUCACUUUUGUUUAUUGUGAUACCUUCAGGCGUUUUCAAUUAAACAUUUGACAUUUUGAGAAAAAACUUUGUCAUGUCAGUCUCAAUUGAUUGAAAGGAAAAUGAUAAUUAUUUGUUAAUUCAAUUAGUAGGUUAUUUUUUGUUAUUUGUAUUCAUUUAGACUAUAAUCAUCAGCUAAUUCAUAUACUUCAGAAAGAUAAUAGUAAUAAGCAAAAUAAAAACUCUGCUACUUGUUUACAAUGAAAGGCCAGUGUUUUAUGCCAUCAGUACUGCGUUAAGUUUUUAGACAACUCUCAAGACUUCUAAUAUUAUAUUUGAAAUCAGAAAUUGUAUUAUAAAAUCACACUACACAUGAAAUCGAAAUAAUGCAUACUCAAAUUACAGUUCUUGUUGCAUUUUUUUUUCAUCUAGCUUCAUCCAGAAAUUUUGCUGUCAAUCAAAAUACCAGUGACAAUAGAAGUUUCAUGAUUGCAAAAUCCAUUUGCAUGUUUACAAUAAUUUUGUAUCUGAUCAUUUCAUCUUAGUGCCUCACAAUCUUCUUUCUUUACCUGAUCUUUCAAUCGAAACAACCAUUUGGGGGAUCGAAUCUUGAAAUGUAUAUAUAUAUAUAUAUAUCACAUUGAAACUGUGAUCAGAAGAGAGACUUUCAGUCAGGUGGUAUCGAGCAGUGAGAUCAUAAUAGAAGAAUUUUCUAGAAUAAAAUAUAUCAGAGUUUAAAUUGUAAAAUAGAAUAAGAAGAAGGCAGUUUAUAAAAGAAAAUGGCUAAAUUAUAUAUGAUUGAGUAGAUUACUAUUAGUAGCUUCAUUCUAAGAAUUCACCAUAUCUAGGUCAACUGUCAUAUCAUAUCAAGUUCCUUGAUAUGAUUUACUGGUACUAAACAUGAUUUGUUCACAGUCCACAUAGGGAUUAUGAUUAUGAUUGUGUAUUUAUCAACAAAAUGAGGUCAGUUUCACAAGGGAAUGUGGAGUGUUUUAGAUAAGACUAAUUUGAUUUACCACUUGGCAUCUCUCGUUUUAGAUUCAUAUGGAUUCCAGUCAAUAUAUAUGCCAGAGUACAUACCGUAGAUGAUCUGCAUUUAAACACUUUAGCAGAGAAAGAGUGAUAACUCAUCUGUAUAAAUGAAUCAAGGAAAAUUGAAUAAGCUUUGUUUCCAAAGGUGGGAGAGAAAUAUUUUCUUCAUAAAUCAGACAUAAAAAUGAGAUUCAAUUUCAACUUAUUUUGUUUGUUGAGAUUUGUGACAAAUAAAUUAAAAUUGGUUGGUUAUUGGUCAAAGAAACACAAUAAGGCUGUUUGAAUUUAAGUAUUUUGCAUGAUAUCUACAUUAAAAGUAUUUUCUAUUUGUAUUUCAAAUAUUUACAUUUUAUCAUUUGCAAAUAUAGUCUGUUACUUUAAAUGAUCCAGUCAUAUACCAUAAUGAAAAGGUUUUUGUCAUUUGUAUUGUCAAAAAAUAAAUGAUUUGUUGUAAUCAAUGUCUUCAUAAUUAAAAGUUAUUACAAAUGAUUCGUUUUAGUAGUCAAUAAUGAAUUAAUUGAAUUGUCAUUGAUUUGAAACAAAUACGUACAAAAAGAUGAUUGUGUUUAAUACUGUAAUACCAUGCAUUUAUGCAUGUUUCAUUUAGACGUGCAUGCAGUAUGUGUAGUGUAUCAUAAUUGCUGAUUAAUUUCUUGAAUCGUUCAGGUAAAGGUUAAUUUGUGGGUUAACUUGAAAAGAUUAGAGGAGAAAAAUUAUCAAUAACAAUAUUGAUCAUCUUCAAAAGGUGUUAGAAAUGUCAUUGGAGAUAAAAACAAGACAAGAUACUGUACCAUGAUAUGUAUGCCCAUAUAAGGUAUUCCAAUCCCCUCAUUAUCUUUCUCUUCACCAUGUCCUGUUUGCUUGUUAGUGUUGUGUAGUCUUGAAGCCACAGACCCUGUUUGUUAUCUUGUUACAUCGGCCCUUUUGUUUUCUUACAACCAGGAAUGCAGCCUGGUUGUAUUUUGAGUGUUGCAUGAAAGGUAAUAGUUUAGUUAAAGUGAGGCUGUAAACCAAAACCUUUUUGUACUCUUUAUUUUGAUGCGAAGCAUGUCACAAAGCCUGAGAGGAAAAGAACAUAUGUGUUGUAUUAAAAACUUUUAUAUUUUUAUUACAAUAUUAGAAAAUCAAAUAAACAGAACGUUGUCAUUUGUAACAUAAAUGUUUCCGCAUGUAUCAAAAUUAAAUAUAUAAAAUGCUUUUUGCAGCUGUUGAAAUGAUAGUCAA
Long non-coding RNA from Lytechinus pictus (painted urchin), 6050 nucleotides. RefSeq lists it as uncharacterized. The transcript is spliced from 2 exons. Lineage: Eukaryota; Metazoa; Echinodermata; Echinoidea; Temnopleuroida; Toxopneustidae. The record is from RefSeq and is a predicted model, not a curated record.